AAACCCGAAGACUCAAAAGAUGAACUAAUCAAUUCUCUUUCCGGCUCAGGCUGCAUAGGUUAACAUUACGGGGCUGUCACGUGAUGAACGAACGACUCAAACCCGAAGACUCGAGAGAUGAACUAAUCAAUUCUCUUUCCGGCUCAGGCUGCAUAGGUUAACAUUACGGGGAUGUCACGUGAUGAACGAACGACUCAAACCCGAGGACUCGAGAGAUGAACUAAUCAAUUCUCUUUCCGGCUCAGGCUGCAUAGGUUAACAUUACGGGGAUGUCACGUGAUGAACGAACGACUCAAACCCGAAGACUCAAAA
This is a long non-coding RNA of Labeo rohita (rohu), 312 nucleotides long. RefSeq lists it as uncharacterized. The transcript is spliced from 2 exons. Lineage: Eukaryota; Metazoa; Chordata; Actinopteri; Cypriniformes; Cyprinidae. The record is from RefSeq and is a predicted model, not a curated record.